Molecule: long non-coding RNA, 1132 nt
Filed under: Malus domestica (apple)
Lineage: Eukaryota; Viridiplantae; Streptophyta; Magnoliopsida; Rosales; Rosaceae
Description: long non-coding RNA (MDOM_LNC019928)
Source: RNAcentral
GAAGUUAACUUUAGCUAGCAAAUUUGGAUGUGGCCUUGGAUUGUUACAUUGGGAUUCAUCGACUUGCUAAGGUUAUACAUUACAUCUAUUCUGAAGUCUGGAACUGUUUUAUUAUGGAGAUUUUUUCUCAGUUUCGCAUGCUGAUAAUUGUUGGAAAUGAAAAAAGCAUGGUAUAUUUUAUCCUAAUUUCAGUAUGCUUGCUGAUCCUCAGUAUGUUAUACAUGCUUUAUCCUACCAAAUGGAUUCUAUAACUAAUUUUUCUCUUACUGCUAAGCCUUCAAUAGUUAAAUUUUUCUUUGCCUGGGAGUCCCUCUUUCGCUCAUACAAUAAACUCAAUAUCGGUGUCUGCAGAAGAGGUGAGAGUCAUAUCAGUGCUGUUGGUCUAGUUUGUGACAGUAAUGAAGGAUGGACCACAGGGGUUUGCUGGUAAUCUUGGCAUGGGAGAGGUACUAACUGAAAAUGCUGAGGGUUUGUCUUAUAGCCUCCAUUUAGCCGGGAAUAAGGUUAUUAAGAAGCUGAAAAAUGAAAUAGCUUCAGCAAUAUAUAGAAGUUACUUUGAUGAUCAAAGUUUAGAAGUAGAAAAAAGAAAUAAUGUAAAUAUUGAUUAUGAAUUUGUGAAGAUACAUCUAAUAAUUGGUAAAGCCAAAAUGAAAUUCACCUCACAAUUUUUCUGUAGUUCCUUCGAAAGAUUUCCACUUUUGUAUUUGGUCAAUAGAUUUUCACUUUUGUUUUUGGUCAAUAGAUUUCCACUUUUCUUUAUGGUCACUAGUUUUCCACUUUUAAUUUACAAUGAAGUUUUAUUUUCUCUUUAUUAUGUUGAAAAUUAGUUUCACUAAUAUGGCUCGACAGUUUACUUCACAUUGGGAGUGAAUGAUUACAAUCUAAAACACGUAGUUUCUUCUAUAAAUCCAGUUUCCAGGUAAAGAAAAGGAAAAAACUUUGUUUACACAAUCAAUUGAAAUGUUGAUGCCUGUAAAAGAAUAGUAAGCAGAAACAUUAUAUAAGUGACAACAAUAACUUCUUUUUUUGCUCCUUUUGGCAGUUCAAGACAUGAAUGCAGGAUUUUAAAGAAGACAAUAUUUUUGCUAUGGCACUGGCUGGUUCACUUUGCAUACCUUGCCUUAUAACCCAU